RNAcentral lists this ribosomal RNA (393 nucleotides) under uncultured bacterium. RNAcentral's name for it is "partial 16S ribosomal RNA". It matches the Rfam family "Bacterial small subunit ribosomal RNA", at positions 523 to 918 of the family's 1533-position model. The record is from RNAcentral.
AUACGGAAGGUCCGGGCGUUAUCCGGAUUUAUUGGGUUUAAAGGGAGCGCAGGCGGAGAUGCAAGCGUGACGUCAAAUUUCGGGGCUCAACCCCGUCUCGCGUCGCGAACUGCGUCCCUUGGUUGCGGGAAGGGGAGGAGGAACUCGUGGUGUAGCGGUGAAAUGCAUAGAUAUCACGAAGAACUCCGAUCGCGAAGGCAGCCUUCCGGCCCGUCAACGACGCUCAUGCUCGAAGGUGCGGGUAUCAAACAGGAUUAGAUACCCUGGUAGUCCGCACAGUAAACGAUGGACACCCGCGGUUUGGCCUAUAUGGCUGAGCCGCCAAGCGAAAGCGUUAAGUGUCCCACCUGGGGAGUACGCCGGCAACGGUGAAACUCAAAUGAAUCGACGGGG